Molecule: ribosomal RNA, 274 nt
Filed under: uncultured bacterium
Lineage: Bacteria
Description: partial 16S ribosomal RNA
Rfam family: Bacterial small subunit ribosomal RNA
Source: RNAcentral
UACGGAGGGUGCGAGCGUUGUCCGGAAUCACUGGGCGUAAAGGGCGCGUAGGUGGCCCCGUCAAGCGCGCGGUGAAAGCCCGGGGCUCAACCCCGGGUCGGCCGUGCGGACUGGCGGGCUCGAGCACUGUAGGGGCGGGUGGAAUUCCGGGUGUAGCGGUGGAAUGCGUAGAGAUCCGGAAGAACACCGGUGGCGAAGGCGGCCCGCUGGGCAGGAAGGGGGUCGUAAGACCCCCGGCUGACACUGAGGCGCGACAGCGUGGGGAGCAAACAGG